This 155-nucleotide ribosomal RNA is filed under the name Millepora sp. EMF02. RNAcentral describes it as "5.8S ribosomal RNA". It matches the Rfam family "5.8S ribosomal RNA". Rfam says of the family: 5.8S ribosomal RNA (5.8S rRNA) is a component of the large subunit of the eukaryotic ribosome. The record is from RNAcentral. Lineage: Eukaryota; Metazoa; Cnidaria; Hydrozoa; Anthoathecata; Milleporidae.
CAACUUUUAACGGUGGAUCUUUUGGCUCGUGCAUCGAUGAAAACGUAGUCAGUUGCGAUAAGUAUUGUGAAUUCGCAGAAUUCAGGAAUCAUCGAAUCUUUGAACGCAAACUGCCCUUUCUGAUAUUCAGGGACAUGUCUGUCCUAACGUCGUUU